Culex pipiens pallens (northern house mosquito) is the source of this 1816-nucleotide long non-coding RNA. RefSeq lists it as uncharacterized. Lineage: Eukaryota; Metazoa; Arthropoda; Insecta; Diptera; Culicidae. The record is from RefSeq and is a predicted model, not a curated record. The transcript is spliced from 3 exons.
CUUCAAGUUCACCCAAUCCUCACGCAACGUGUAGGCAACAGCUGAUUGAGAGCAUGAAAUGUUUCAAUGCUUCCAGCGUGAGAGAGAGAAACCGUUAGGAGAGAAAAACACCCAACCCGCGCUCUCGUAAACAUCUGUCGGAUAGGUGCUUGCAAUUUAACUUACACGACAAUGUAAACAUUAUUUGCCUGAGUCGGAUAGGACUUUUAAUAUUUUCUACGAUUAUUUACCAUUAUUUUUACGAUUAUUUACCAAAGUAGUGCUAGAAUCUUGUUGUAGGCUGAUAAACUAGAGUUCAGAAUCUGGUGAACUGGUUUUGAGGACAAAUCAGCAACGGCGAGAACAGAGAAACAGAGUCGAUCUCGCUAGCCGGAACGAGGAGCCCAAGAACGAUAACUCUCCAAGCUGGGGACUUCCGGGGACUGGGAACAGCCGUUGGUGUCCUGAAGGCGGUUCGUUGUGGCUUUCCGCAAUGCGUCCAGUGGGUGGAGGACGCCAACCAGCUGAGGAGGGAGGCAUUCGGUGUUAGCCAGCGGCUCAAGCGGUGAAUUGUGCAAGAGAUUGCCAACGGGUACGGAGUUUAUCCGCCGCACUGCAAGAAAAAGUAAACCAUCCUGCCCGAUCCGGUGUUGCUGGACGUGGAGAAGCGCACCCUGGCAAAGCGAACGGCCGAGGGCAAACCAAAGAAAAGGGAGAUUUAAGAUUUUUGCUGUUUCCUGAUUAAUUUUCACGAUAUUUGAUUUGAAUUGAAUUUGAAUUUGAUUUGAAAACACCACUUUUUUAGUUUUCUGUUCUGAUUUUAAAUAAAAAUUUGAAGAUUUUGCUCCAGGUUAAAUAAUGUUUGGCUUCUUGAUUUUUAUUUUUUGAAAAGUGAGAUGAAAUCCUCAAAAAAUAUUUUGAGCUGGGAUAAAUGUCACAGAAAUUUUAAGUUAUUUCAAUCAUUCUGGCUGGACAAGAUUAUUAAAUCUUGCUUUGGUAUGAAAUUCAAUAAAAUAUAAAAAGAUAAAAUACAAGCAAAUCAGCGAUAACUUUUUAGCUAUAUUAGUCGAAUAUCUAAAAAUGCAGUCCAAUAAAUGAAAAUACGCAUGCCCUACAUUUCGUUUCAAAAUAUUUAUGAAGAAGAAUUUUUAUAAGCUUUUUGCACUAGUUUUUGCAUAAUAAUAUAUAAAGAAGCAUAAAAAGUAGUUCUGUAAUUUUAACAUAGGAUUUUGAGGGUUAUUUUAACAUUUUUAACGUUCCGCGAAAUUUGGUGUUUUGAAAUUAGGUUCCCCGUGAAAAUUGAAAUUUUUGAGCGUGAAAAAUUACUAAGCCUACGGAUUAUGUAUCCUGCGAGAAUCGACCUCGGCGGAAGAACGUCCCGGAAGCGGCCGUAGUCGUAGUGGUCGUCGUUGGCCUAGCCAUCAUCGAGGAAGUCGUCACCACGCAGAAACAGCAAUUACGAGACUGCAGUAAACUGCAAUGACGAAGUCGUUGGCGUCGCAAUGGAAACGACUAUCUUGGCCGACGGGGACGAUAUCAGUACGGAGAAGCUGUUUCCGUUGCCACCGGCGUCCGAAAAGUAAGCCCAGCAAUCUCCACCACUACCGCCGAUGCCACCCCUUUCUCUGUUACCAACGACCUGUCCAACGCCCGCGUCGGAACGUUCCCAGCAGCAGCAGAGUUCCAACGUCGCAGUAACCGGUUCCUCCAGCGACGAAUGUCGCUACGCCCGCCAAAUAACAAGGUCUUUCUCAAUUGGUUUUAUGUUCCCUAAUCAUUUCUGUUUUAUCAAGUACCGAGGUAACAAUUUUACAUGUUUUCAAUUUAAUAAAGCAAA